This is a long non-coding RNA of Chelonia mydas (Green sea turtle), 418 nucleotides long. RefSeq lists it as uncharacterized. Lineage: Eukaryota; Metazoa; Chordata; Testudines; Cheloniidae. The record is from RefSeq and is a predicted model, not a curated record. The transcript has 2 exons.
CGCGGAAUUGAGUGACCGAUCCUGGCUUGGCACCGCUGGAAUCGAGAGAUGCAAGGAGGGAAUGGUCCCAUGGUUCCGAGCAACCUGCCAGCUAACCUGUCAGCAAAAUGGACCAUUCAGCAGACCUGUUUGAUCACUAGAGACUACUAUGGACUGUUGAUAUAUUUGCCAUUACUUAUAAUAGCAGGUGUAAUUUUUGCUUUUGGUUUUAAAAUAAGUUUUUUUAGCUAAAACCCGACCCACCCGAGAUAUGUUCCUGCAAGCCCUCAUGAUCCUUCUGUUGGCUCCAGUUACCUUGGCAAUACCAGAACAUCCUCUUCGGGGAGCAAUCCAAACCAUCGCCUCAGCUGCUGGUGCUACAAAUUGCUGGAUGUGCACCUUGCUAAAUUCAACCAAUGGACUGGGAAUUGAAUUUGUA